RNAcentral lists this ribosomal RNA (253 nucleotides) under uncultured bacterium. RNAcentral's name for it is "partial 16S ribosomal RNA". It matches the Rfam family "Bacterial small subunit ribosomal RNA", at positions 524 to 776 of the family's 1533-position model. The record is from RNAcentral.
UACGGAGGGUGCAAGCGUUAUCCGGAUUCACUGGGGUUAAAGGGUGCGCAGGCGGGUAAGUAAGUCCGUGGUGAAAUCUCUGAGCUUAACUCAGAAACUGCCGUGGAUACUAUUUGCCUUGAAUAUUGUGGAGGUGAGCGGAAUAUGUCAUGUAGCGGUGAAAUGCUUAGAUAUGACAUAGAACACCAAUUGCGAAGGCAGCUCACUACACAAUCAUUGACGCUGAGGCACGAAAGCGUGGGGAUCAAACAGG